This 425-nucleotide ribosomal RNA is filed under the name uncultured bacterium. RNAcentral's name for it is "partial 16S ribosomal RNA". It matches the Rfam family "Bacterial small subunit ribosomal RNA", at positions 354 to 796 of the family's 1533-position model. The record is from RNAcentral.
GUGGGGAAUCUUAGACAAUGGGCGCAAGCCUGAUCUAGCCAUGCCGCGUGAUCGAUGAAGGCCUUAGGGUUGUAAAGAUCUUUCAGUGGGGAAGAUAAUGACUGUACCCACAGAAGAAGCCCCGGCUAACUCCGUGCCAGCAGCCGCGGUAAUACGGAGGGGGCUCGCGUUGUUCGGAAUUACUGGGCGUAAAGCGCACGUAGGCGGAACAGAAAGUCAGAGGUGAAAUCCCAGGGCUCAACCUUGGAACUGCCUUUGAAACUCCUGUUCUUGAGUUCGAGAGAGGUGAGUGGAAUUCCGAGUGUAGAGGUGAAAUUCGUAGAUAUUCGGAGGAACACCAGUGGCGAAGGCGGCUCACUGGCUCGAUACUGACGCUGAGGUGCGAAAGCGUGGGGAGCAAACAGGAUUAGAAACCCCAGUAGUCC